GGAUUGUUGAACUGCAAACUGUUAGUGAAAAACUGGUUAUUGCGUCUUCAUGCUUGAGUGUUGAGAUCUUGUUUGUCGUUGUAGAUUACCUGAUCUCCCUGUUCCCCUGUGCACAGGUUUUGAACCCUUCUUGUGGUGUGGUAAGAAUCUCAUCUUAAAGCUCACAGAACGAUUUCAACAACCACCAAACAGGUAAAACCACAAAUGAGAGCAGGUACACAGGUGUUACUACUCUCCAGCCAAAACUGACUUAACCAGCAGCAAAAGAAGAUCCAUACUACGUUUCAGUUUCAAGACAAACAAAGCAGUGAAGAUGGACGUGCUGCCCUGCAUGAUGCUCGUCUUCCUGCUGUCAGUUGGAGCCUCUCUGGCCCAGGUGGAUCUGACUCGUAUCGUAAGAAAAAUCAGAGGACAAUACAGCAUAGAUGGACAGUUCUGUCUGGCUGCAGUCAUCCCGGUAGAUCUGAACCUAAACACUCUUAACCAGGUUUUUGAGGGUGAUCCCUUUCAGGCUGUUCUGGGAAAGAUUGGGGAAAGAACCUCAGACAAUAACAAUCGUGGAGUGUAUGUAGGCCAGAGGGUGAUUGUGGCCAGACCAACAUCACCUGAAGGCGGACGAAGUGGACAACAUGCAGAAAGUCGUGUUCUGCAAACCCUGAGAGAGCGGCUGGAAACUGAGAACCUGAACAGAUUCCUAAACAGCCAGGACAACUUCCUGCUCAUCUACUCUUUUGCCUCUGCAUGUGAUACAUGCACCAGCCGCUACCAUUCAUCGAGCAUCAUUGAGGACCUUGAACUUAUCGCUGAAACCUACUAUUCUGUAUUUGUGUUUAAAAAAAUCUUUCAGCCCAACAAUCAGCCUCCCAUUCCUGAAAACAUUUUGGCUGAUUCCCUUCGUUCUCUUGGUGAUGCCAUCGGUGGGCUUAAUAACAUCUUUCGUUGUGACCCAGAUUGUUACAGCUGCUUUGGAAGGGAAACAAACGCAAUUUCACAAUAUUGUAUUAUUAACAAUGCUUAGUGUUGGGUCUAACACUUAAACCCCGCUGACUCAGAGACCAAUCACCUGUGUACAAAGGAAGAUCACACAGAACUCAGUCAGUUUUUACUUGCUGCGCAAAGGGAGUCCAAGCUCUUCUCCUGAUCUCAGUUAACUCUAAACUCCAGCCUCCCCUCUCAGUUCUUCUAUUAACCUCAAAUUCAAAUUCAAAUUUUAUUUGUCACACACACACAACCAUACACAGUAUGACAUGGGGGUGAAAUGCUUGUAGCUGUACAAUGCCAGACCAUUAAAUGACAGAAGAAAAGUUUUACAAUAUUUACAAUUUACUACAAAAAUUUACAAAUUAACUUAGGAAUUUACAGUAAAGAAUGUGCAAAUAGCAGAAGAGAUUAUAAAGAUAAGGAUUAUAAAUUAUAGGAAUUAUAGGAUUAUAGGAAAUGUGUG
Molecule: long non-coding RNA, 1444 nt
Organism: Astatotilapia calliptera (eastern happy)
Lineage: Eukaryota; Metazoa; Chordata; Actinopteri; Cichliformes; Cichlidae
Source: Ensembl